GACGAACGCUGGCGGCGUGCUUAACACAUGCAAGUCGAACGGAAAGGCCCUUCGGGGUACUCGAGUGGCGAACGGGUGAGUAACACGUGGGUGAUCUGCCCUGCACUUUGGGAUAAGCCUGGGAAACUGGGUCUAAUACCGAAUAGGACCACGCGCUUCAUGGUGUGUGGUGGAAAGCUUUUGCGGUGUGGGAUGGGCCCGCGGCCUAUCAGCUUGUUGGUGGGGUAAUGGCCUACCAAGGCGACGACGGGUAGCCGGCCUGAAAGGGUGACCGGCCACACUGGGACUGAGAUACGGCCCAGACUCCUACGGGAGGCAGCAGUGGGGAAUAUUGCACAAUGGGCGCAAGCCUGAUGCAGCGACGCCGCGUGAGGGAUGACGGCCUUCGGGUUGUAAACCUCUUUCAAUAGGGACGAAGCGUGAGUGACGGUACCUAUAGAAGAAGCACCGGCCAACUACGUG
RNAcentral lists this ribosomal RNA (462 nucleotides) under uncultured bacterium. RNAcentral's name for it is "bacterial SSU rRNA". It matches the Rfam family "Bacterial small subunit ribosomal RNA", at positions 28 to 507 of the family's 1533-position model. The record is from RNAcentral.